This 1059-nucleotide long non-coding RNA is filed under the name Monodelphis domestica (gray short-tailed opossum). RNAcentral's name for it is "lncRNA (ENSMODG00000040723.1)". The record is from RNAcentral. Lineage: Eukaryota; Metazoa; Chordata; Mammalia; Didelphimorphia; Didelphidae.
GACCAGCAUAUGGGAAGAGGAAGACAUGCCCCCAGAACUCAGAGAUGCCUCCAUCGUAGUCCUAUACAAGAACAAAGGCUCACGAACAGCCUGUGACAACUACAGAGGCAUCUCACUACUCUACACUGCUGGAAAGAUCCUCGCCCGUGUCAUGCUCAACAGACUCCUGUCAUCUGUUUCAGAGCAGAACCUGCCUGAAUCACAAUGUGGCUUCCGACCGUGCCAUUGACAUGGUCUUUACGGUGAGGCAAAUGCAGGAAAAAUGCCUUGAGCAGAACCUGAGUCUCUACAUUGUCUUCAUAGACCUGACGAAGAUGUUUGACACAGUGAACAGGAACACAGUGAACAGGGACGCAUUGUGGGUGAUACUUAGCAAGCUCGGUUGCCCAGCAAAAUUCAUCAAACUGAUCCAGCUCUUUCAUGUCGACAUGACAGGGGAAGUCCUAUCUGGUGGAGAGACUUCCGGCCUCUUCAACAUCUCCAAUGGCGUGAAACAAGGCUGUGUCCUUGCUCCGAUGCUAUUCAACCUAUACUUCACCCAAGUAUUACGACAUGCUGUGAUGGAUCUAGACCUGGGCGUCUACAUCAAAUACCGACUGGAUGGCUCACUAUUCGACCUUUGCUGCCUGACUGCAAAAACAAAGACAACAGAGAGACUCAUCCUGGAAGCUCUCUUCACAGAUGACUGUGCUCUCAUGGCCCACCAAGAAAAUCAUCUCCAAACCAUUGUGGACAGGUUCUCCACCGCAACAAAACUGUUUAGCCUGACUAUCAGCCUCAGCAAAACAGAGGUGCUGUUCCAACCUGCACUAGGGAGGCCAACAAACCAGCCGCGCAUUACAAUCGAAGGCACGCAGCUUUCUAAUGUCAACACUUUCAAGUACCUGGGCAGCACCAUCGCCAACGACGGGUCCCUAGACCACGAGAUUAAUGCCAGGAUCCAAAAGGCCAGCCAGGCACUCGGGCGGCUGCGCUCCAAAGUCCUCCAACACAGCGGUGUAAGCACUGCGAUGAAGCUCAAAGUGUACAACGCAGUGGUCCUCAGCUCGCUCCUGUACG